ACGCAGCCGUGCAAUUCAUUUGAAGAUUCCCGACUAUUUCGGUGAAUCACUCGCUAAGAUUAACGCCAGGGACUCGGCAAGGACCCACAGAUGGAGGAGCGAUGCUUGAAUAUUUCCCGUUUCUGAUGUGGUUUCGCUCUGGUUUUGAGUGGGAGCUGAACCAAAACCCCAUAGGAAGUGCGGGGCCGCGACAUUACAGGAAAGCCACGUCUGUAGAGCAACGCCAGCAUCUCCCAGCAGCACAUUUCCUCCUCAAACCGUAUCUGGAGUAGGCGGUGUUCUUUCAGCCCACUUAUACGUCUUCACCAAAACACCCCAAAACUGACAGAACCAAAACGACAGCGUUUCAAAGCCCACAUCUGUCCUCCUGUCUCGCAGCCAAGCCAGCAGGGAAUAUAAAUACCUUAUUCCACCUUCGAAAUGCUUUCUCCGUGGAAGUAUCCCAGGCCACCGAGAAAGGAAGAGAAUUACCCAAGGGCUCUCCUGCCCAAAAAGAGCUCCAUGAGCCCGCCCCCAGCAUUGGCACCGUCAUUUCCCUCACCAAAAAUUGCAUCAUCCAAAUGAGCACCGAACUACAAAGGCUAAUAAGAAAAGGAGAUGGGGGCGUCCAAACCCCAUCGCUGCCAAGGAAUCGGGCGAAAAUACCCAAAUUUAAGGGCAGCUAAGGCGGAACGCUCUCCAUUUCGCUUCAGCCCGACGCGCCGGUUUUCAUCUACGUUUCCCCCCGGCAAAAAAAACAAAGCGAACCAACGCCGAGCUCGGCACAAAGCAGAGCAGCCACCCUUGGAAAGCAGCUCCCGGAGCUGGCAGAGGAUCACAUGGAUGCUGGGAAGAGCGGGGCCAAGCCUCCCUGCCCGGCGGAUGCCCGCAGAUCAGGCUCGCACGCUGCGGAGGAGCGGGAUGCACGGGGGGUGUUGUAACAGCAGCGGGAUGUUAUCGCACCUGCACAGCCAGGCGGGGCGAGGAGACACGCUUUCAUGUGGCUUCGGUACGGUUUGCAGAAAAAUACGUGCCUCUAUUCAUUAUAAGCUACGAAUUUGCCUCUAAGGCUGCGGCACCGAUCUGCAGUACCGCCUGGAUUUAUAAUGAGGGCUCAAGGAAUCGAAUCAAUAAUUGAAAUUUCUGCUUUGAUCCAGGCGCCGUGAUUACGACUUCUGUCAGCGUCGCCGUUCGGAGAUAAAAGGUGAGGUGGUGUUCAGAGCUGGAGGCAGGGAGGGAAGAAACUGUCGAGGAGUGAAGUACAAAGGCUGGCAUGGAGCUGGUGAAUCAGAGCAGCGCUUGUACUGGAGACAUUUCACUACUCCGUCAAUUCUCCUUCCCAAGGCAUGAAAAAACCCUUUCAUCCGAGAGAGAAGUCAUCAUGCAAAUUCUUAGGGAAUGAAAACGCCUUUUUUUUUUUUUUUUUCUUUAGCAGAAAAUAAUAUAAUCAUGCAUCAACCAGCCACAACAUACUGACAAAGCAUCAGCAAAGCCGGAGUUUAAGCUACGGUCAACUUUGCUGUACUUACUGCCUUUAAAAACGAUCACAUUGCAGACAGGCGCUGGCACGAUCGGUUUCACGGGAUAUUUAAGCCCUUCCAUUAAUUAAACAGAAGUGAAACGGGACCUCAGACUGCACAGACACUGCGGAUCAUUAAGUCUGGUUCCUCGGUACUUCAAGCAACCACGUUAUAAAACUCCUCUCUCGCUCUGCUUGAACGGCACCUUAAAAAGCAGAGGUUUUUCUUUUUUGCCCCGUUCCUCCCAUUUGGAGGCUGUUUAGGGUCCUGUUCCUCUGCUACACACACAAACCCCUCUCGUUUCCCGCUCGCAGCCCCGCCAUCGCUCUUUAUCCACGUAUUUUUUCGCCAGUGGUGUCCUUUAGGUUAAAUAGCUUUCUCCCUGAGUCAUUCCCACAAACUUGCAAGCGUACAAAGGAGUCUGGGAUACGGGCAGAACAAAAAUAGUACAAAGACCGUACAGUGCUCUUGAACGGAAAAUGCAGGCAUUGAACUCUAUCUUACGCAUCUUCAUAUUUCUCGAGCUUUUCCUUUUUUAAACGCAGCCAGCACGCCGUACACCAGGCACUUCAUUUGAUCCACGUUAAGAGCCGCUUGUGAUAACCCGGCCCUGAGCAUAAUGCAAGGGCUCUGCUUAUCUCAGACGGCACGUCUCAGGGAAAAAGACACGAAGCCUUCUUCCCACCCGAAUAUAUAUUGAAAUUACGAGCCUCCCAUUAUUAAAUCAUCACACGCAAUUUAUAUUCGGCCGCUUUUGAGAGGCAGAAGCGCAGUAAAGCCGUUACCCGCAGAAGCGCUAACAAGAUAAUUGCCUCUCGCUCCUGCUCCCAAACGGCUGAGCUCAGAUUUACAGCGGGGAAAAUCGCUCUAACGGCCCACAGCGAGCAGCCUGCGGCUCCAAAAAGGUUCAGAAACGGCCCCAAACCGACAGACGCUGCAGGCAGGGGAAGACGUACCCGCUACGGGACACCCAAAUGCCCUGCUCGGCCCUGGGACCCGCUGCCUACCCCGAGCCGUGCACACCCGGGUGCCUCCAGCCACCUCGGGGGACCCCAGGGCCAUCCCCAGAUCCAGCAGGGAUUUCCCCUGAAUAAACCAAACUAAAGCACAUUUACAUCAAAAACAGCUAGUCCCAAGAAUUGUUCUGUUAUUUCAUCCCAGGCUCUGCUUUCCUGAAAUGCAGCAUCCCACUGCUUCUGCUCUCACGUGCACCAGGAUGCCUCUGAAGGGACUUCGCUCGGCUGUUCCCCAGCUUCACGCCCCAAAAAUUCAGCGCUGAAUCCCACCUACUGAAAAAGCCACAUAAGACACCAGAAAAAGAGAUACACUUUCUAAAUGCCUAAAGUUUCAAUAAAAACAGUUUCCUUAAUGAUUUUUUAACAGAAGAAGGUGAUGUAGUUCUUCUUAUUAGCAUUAUUUUGUAUUUCUGCUUCUGAUGAAUGAAGGCUGUUCUAUUUUAAAAUUCAGGACAUAAAUGGGAACCAGAUCACAUCCACCCCAAAGCUGCCAAAAAACACACUGCUGUACGAAACCAAAAAUCCUCCUGGGAUUUUCCCAAAUCCACAAAACAUUCCCCAGCACCGAAGUUUCCACUGGGACUACUCCACAAGCAGCCGGUCGCUGGGUGAGAACGUCAGCGCUCAGCCCUCCUCUUCAUGGUUUCCAGUCCGGUGGGGCCACGAAAGGCACGCUCUCCCACCUCACCCCAAGGAACAUUGCCCCUAAAGCCAGCCAGCUGCUGGAAACACCUUCAGCCUCGUCCCCCCGUGCCCGCAGCUCCGCCUGGGCGAUCGGAUCCCGGGGGCACAGCAGAGCCCUCCCCGGCGAGGCCGAAGCCCCGCGGCUUUCCGAAAUCAGCCUGGGUUCGUCUGACCGGCAGCGAGGGAAGAAGCGGUUUUAAACGAGCAAAUCUGGAAGCACGGGGAUGGAGUAAAACAGCCGAAGCUUCUGCAGAGGAAACCUGUGCUUCGGUCCCGUUUUGCACCGCUUUGCUGCAGCUGCUGCGGACCUGGCGGAGAGGCAGGGAUCACCACCGAGACGCGCAUCUGCCGGGUAAACGCCACGCGGUCACCUCCGGGACGAGCAGCACGGGCACUGCCCCGAGCUCCUCCGCAGCACCUCAGCAGUCAUUUGUGGGUACAAACGAGAAAUAAGUUAGAGCAAUCCCAAACUCUGCCAUCCUCGGGGGGCCUCGGAGGGGCAGCACCUGCGCCGAGAGGUCGAAGCUGUCCCCUCUCAGUGCUCCCCGAGGGGAAAGCGAAGCCUGGGGCGCAUCCCUCCCCCUCUAUUUGCCACCCUAACACGCUGCACCACGCCGGCAUCACCUCCGUGCCAAAGCCUCGCCGGUUUCUGCCCCUUCUCCCUUUUACAGCCUCGCUCCCGUUUCCCCGGCAGGACGGGGUCGGGAUGCUUUUUUGUCUGAAACAUCCUCUUGCCAGCCCCGAGGACUGGAUCCCUUAUAGAGAUUUCAGAGCCCAGUGAGCACAAAGUCAUUCGGAGUCAUUUCCCGACGGCUAGAGAGAGAGAGCUCCACGGACAUACACAUAUGGGAACGGCACCCUGCAAAAACAAGGGGACACCCCGACUUCAAAGCCACUCCUCCCUCAGAAAGCUCUCUCGGCUUAUUUUUGAAGGGGAAAAAAAACACAGAUACGUGUACAAAUGUCAAAGCAGAAAGCCCCGAGCUGGCUGGACGCAGCCCGAGGCCCCGCAGACGCCCCGGCGCAGCUCUGGGACCCCGCAGGCGCGUGGCAGCCCCUCCGAACAGCACCAGGAAAACGAAAAAAAAUAAAAAUAAACAAAACAAAACAAAAAAAAA
Molecule: long non-coding RNA, 4317 nt
Organism: Cygnus atratus (black swan)
Lineage: Eukaryota; Metazoa; Chordata; Aves; Anseriformes; Anatidae
Exons: 2
Source: RefSeq, a predicted model, not a curated record